CUUCGGGGCGGGGUGAAAAUCCCCACCGGCGGUCAAAGCCCGCGACUUUCCGGCCAGUGUCCAUUCUGAAGGGACCUGCGGAAACUGAAUCGGUGAAAUUCCGAUGCCGACGGUUACAGUCCGGAUGAGAGAAAGUG
Molecule: non-coding RNA, 137 nt
Filed under: human gut metagenome
Description: FMN riboswitch (RFN element)
Rfam family: FMN riboswitch aptamer (RFN element)
About the family: The RFN element is a highly conserved domain that is found frequently in the 5'-untranslated regions of prokaryotic mRNAs that encode for flavin mononucleotide (FMN) biosynthesis and transport proteins. This element is a metabolite-dependent riboswitch that directly binds FMN in the absence of proteins.
Source: RNAcentral